CUCUUUCUCUCCUUGACAGGGAAAAGCAAGUGCCUGCCUAAAGGACGCUGAAUAAAUCCAACCUAGUCAUUACUUAGGCUUAUCUUGCGAAUUUUCACAAGACCCCAUGAAGGAGCUCAGGACAACCAGGCACCUGGGGUUGCAACUCACAGUCUAAAGGAACUACUACUUUUGGUAUCACAGGAAGAAACUACGAAGUUGGGGCUGACAGUGUGCCACCGAGGAGACACGGAGGAACUGAGUUCUGGGACAGAUGGUCUUGAGAAGCAGGACGAGAACCAAGGGAGCCACAGAGAUGGAAGGUGGUCGUGGGUGGCCCACGGAGACAAGUUUCACCCACGCCACAGAAGAACCAAUGAUCUCAGCCCUCCCUCCGAAGGCAGACAGAGAGUGGUGGUUUCAAUAACCCAGCAAAUGGGCAGGUCAUCAGUGUCAGAAGAACCCAGGAAUUAAGAAGAGGUUCAGGAAUCUCAUAGGAUAAAUACUCCCAAGCAACUUCUCUACUAGAAACUCUCUCGGUUUCUCUCUCACUGGUUAGACCAGUAACUGUCAGAUGUUCACACAACAAGCAAAACUCUCUGACCACCCAGGGGGGGAUGCUGAACUCUCAUAGCAAGGUACUGUCCAGGUAUGUUGAGACCCUUGGUUCUUACUUCGCAUGCUUACUACGAGUUACUCAUGUUUGUUGCCAAACCUGUUUUGUCUGUUGCAAUUUGAAAAUUUUAUGAACUGGGACGCCUGGGUGGCUCAGUUGGUUAAAU
Molecule: long non-coding RNA, 761 nt
Organism: Mustela erminea (ermine)
Lineage: Eukaryota; Metazoa; Chordata; Mammalia; Carnivora; Mustelidae
Exons: 3
Source: RefSeq, a predicted model, not a curated record